This 1456-nucleotide long non-coding RNA is filed under the name Manacus vitellinus (golden-collared manakin). Its description in RNAcentral is "lncRNA (ENSMVIG00005003732.1)". The record is from RNAcentral. Lineage: Eukaryota; Metazoa; Chordata; Aves; Passeriformes; Pipridae.
ACCAGAGAGGCCUGAUUUGUGAAAGAGAUAAUCCUCAGCAUCCUGCCAGAUGGGGCUGAACCAAUGGCAGCAGUGUCUGAAAUGCUGAAAGCUGCUGUGAGCAGUGGCCAGCCUGCCCAUUAACCAGGAACCAUGGCUGGCUGGAGAGGCAGGAGGUAGAACAGGAUGUCCCUGGGAUGUUCUCUGUCCCCUGGCAGCUUUCCCACAUUUGCAAUCUGACCCUCCAACCAUCAGCACAUGGACCAUUGAUCUCAUGAACUCACAUUUGUGAUCCUCCACAGAACUGCCAUUGAGAAUACACAGGCCAGAGAACUUCUGGCAGAAAGUCACUCUUGGGUGAUCUUCAAAAUUCAGAAAUGGCCAUUCAGAUACAAAAACAUGUUGACAAGUGAUUCCAACAAUACACUAAUUCAGGUCCAGAAUUAAAUCCAGAUUCUGACACAAUUACAGCAGCAAUGGCACUCAGUGCAUUCAGUGUUCUAAUAGAAAAAUGGUGUUUUGCUCCAUAUGACUUGGCUCACUCGAGAGAUAUUUACAGUGAGACACAGUUUUACUGUAGUGUAAAGAUAAUUUGACAAUUACAGGUCAAAGUAUACUCACUUAUUGCUUUAUAUGAAUCUAAAAGCAGUCAAACUCAUACACAAAUGAGGAAAGAUUCUUCAUGUUUCCCACAGCUCUGAAGAAAACAGACACAGAAAUUAUGUCUGGACUGGAGGUCUCACCAGAACACACAGUAUAUGUUCUCAUCCUAAGCCUUUCCCUGCAGAGCAUGAACUCCUUACAGUUGUUGGUUUGUUCUUCAAGAACCCAAGCUCAGUUUACAAUGUCUGUCUGGGAAAGCUCUACCGCCCAAGGAAAGACCAGCCUACCUUCUCAUGGGAUCAAACAGAAGAGAUGGGAACUAAUUAAGGGGACAUUUGGAUCAGCUUGUAAACAUAAGGACGCCCCAAAGAGCACCCAAAGCAGAAACCUGGAUGCAAAUGUCUGCGGUCUUGGAGCAAAACAUGGAUGCAGAUUCCAAUCCCCAUUUUACACUGGAAGUUCAUUUCUAACCUGUGCAGACACAAGCUUUAGGCCCAGCUCUGCAUUCCUUCCACGCCCAGGGUUGGAGUUCUGCCUGAAUAAGGAAUGCAAGAGAGAAAUGAAUUCCUUAUCGGCCUGGCAGAUCUUGUUUGGUGAUGUACAUGCCUGUGAACCUGCCAGAACUCAAAUGUGGGACAUGGCACCCAGCCGAGCUCCAGAGCUGAGAGACUGCAAACCACUACUCUACUCUCUAGGACACUUGAAAUAAAGUAGAACUAUUUCCAUAAGUAACUGCUCCUAACUCCAGGAUACCUGGGUAUACUCUGAUACUUCUGUUAGAAACAACUUUCAUCAAUGGAAAAGUGAAGAUCCCAGAUUUGGAUAAAAAUGAGUAACAAAGGGAAUAAAUUGUGUAUUUCCAAAAUGAUGGGCA